Molecule: ribosomal RNA, 914 nt
Filed under: Enterococcus faecium
Lineage: Bacteria; Bacillati; Bacillota; Bacilli; Lactobacillales; Enterococcaceae
Description: bacterial SSU rRNA
Rfam family: Bacterial small subunit ribosomal RNA
Source: RNAcentral
UUUUUUUAUUUUUUAUUUUACCCACAGACGAACGCUGGCGGCGUGCCUAAUACAUGCAAGUCGUACGCUUCUUUUUCCACCGGAGCUUGCUCCACCGGAAAAAAGAGGAGUGGCGAACGGGUGAGUAACACGUGGGUAACCUGCCCAUCAGAAGGGGAUAACACUUGGAAACAGGUGCUAAUACCGUAUAACAAUCGAAACCGCAUGGUUUUGAUUUGAAAGGCGCUUUCGGGUGUCGCUGAUGGAUGGACCCGCGGUGCAUUAGCUAGUUGGUGAGGUAACGGCUCACCAAGGCCACGAUGCAUAGCCGACCUGAGAGGGUGAUCGGCCACAUUGGGACUGAGACACGGCCCAAACUCCUACGGGAGGCAGCAGUAGGGAAUCUUCGGCAAUGGACGAAAGUCUGACCGAGCAACGCCGCGUGAGUGAAGAAGGUUUUCGGAUCGUAAAACUCUGUUGUUAGAGAAGAAUAAGGAUGAGAGUAACUGUUCAUCCCUUGACGGUAUCUAACCAGAAAGCCACGGCUAACUACGUGCCAGCAGCCGCGGUAAUACGUAGGUGGCAAGCGUUGUCCGGAUUUAUUGGGCGUAAAGCGAGCGCAGGCGGUUUCUUAAGUCUGAUGUGAAAGCCCCCGGCUCAACCGGGGAGGGUCAUUGGAAACUGGGAGACUUGAGUGCAGAAGAGGAGAGUGGAAUUCCAUGUGUAGCGGUGAAAUGCGUAGAUAUAUGGAGGAACACCAGUGGCGAAGGCGGCUCUCUGGUCUGUAACUGACGCUGAGGCUCGAAAGCGUGGGGAGCAAACAGGAUUAGAUACCCUGGUAGUCCACGCCGUAAACGAUGAGUGCUAAGUGUUGGAGGGUUUCCGCCCUUCAGUGCUGCAGCUAACGCAUUAAGCACUCCGUCCUGGGGGGGGCG